Molecule: long non-coding RNA, 806 nt
Organism: Myotis myotis
Lineage: Eukaryota; Metazoa; Chordata; Mammalia; Chiroptera; Vespertilionidae
Exons: 2
Source: RefSeq, a predicted model, not a curated record
AUAAAUUUCUAGUGGGGUGACACCCACUCUCCCACAGCAAGAUUCCUUCUUGAGAGUGGACAGUGAGCAUCUACAGGUGAAGGUGCUAAGGAAGCAAAUGGUAUCCUAGCUGAGCCUUCAUCAUGGAAGCCUGUACAUAUAGCUGGCCUGGGCAUGAAUGAUUAAGAGGAAACAGGAAAUUGAAUGGCAGCAAAGGAGAAAUGAAAGAAAAAGGACUGAGAACAAAUGGGACAUUGUCAGCAGAAAGGAGAACAUCAGAAGCGGAACCGCAACAGAUGAGGGAACCCUAAAGAUGAAGGAGUACUAGAACUUCUAAUAAUAAUUCACAUUUAUUAGUGUUUAUUAUGUGCUGGGCACUGGAUACACAUUUUAUAUGAGUUUCUUCAUCUCAUUUAAUCCUUACCACAAACACUGUGAUAGACACUAUUGUGAUGCCUAUUUUACAAAAGAUAAAAAUGCUCUUUAAAUGAAAAAACAAAAUCCAAGUCCCCCACAACAUUUCAAAGAAGUCAAGAGGGGAGAGGAUAAAACAAAACAGAAAAAAAAAAUGGGACAAAUGGCACAAAAUCAGAUAGUAGAAAUAAGUAUAAAUAUAUUAGAACUAAACUCUAAAGUUAAAAGACAAUGACUGCCCAUUGGAUAGAAAAAACAAAUUUGCACUACAUGUUGUUUCCAAGAGCACAUCUAAAACAGAAUGGUAGAGACAAGAAAGUAAAGAUGUGGAAAAACAUACCAGACACAUAAGAAUGACAAGAAAGCUUAUUAAGUUAUAACAUUUGUUAAAAUAAACUAUCUUGCUUGUAAAA